RNAcentral lists this ribosomal RNA (253 nucleotides) under uncultured bacterium. RNAcentral describes it as "partial 16S ribosomal RNA". It matches the Rfam family "Bacterial small subunit ribosomal RNA", at positions 524 to 776 of the family's 1533-position model. The record is from RNAcentral.
UACGGAGGGUGCAAGCGUUAUCCGGAUUCACUGGGCGUAAAGCGUGCGCAGGCGGUUCGUUGUGUCGGCGGGGAAAUCCCCGGGCUCAACCUGGGAACUGCGUUUGUGACUGUAUGACUAGAGUACGGUAGAGAGGGGUGGAAUUCCUGGUGUAGCAGUGAAAUGCGUAGAUAUCAGGAGGAACAUCGAUGGCGAAGGCAGCCCCUUGGACCUGUACUGACGCUCAUGCACGAAAGCGUGGGGAGCAAACAGG